GUUCUAGACACUGGGGUCAAAGGCAGUGAAUAAAACAAAUUUGCAUUAAAUAGUUCAAGUUCUAGGGGAAGGAAGCAGACUGCUAACAAACACAUAAACGCAGACUACAUUAAGAAGUGAUAAGCACAGUGGAGAAAAAAGUCAGCAGAGUAGAGAUGAUAGCAUUGCUUGAUACUAUUAAUAGUUUAUAUAGAUUGCCUGGGAAGUACUUUCUGAGGAGGCUGGGGAGAAGUGAGGAGCUGGCCCUGUGGAUACCAUGGUGGAAAAGUGUCCAGGUAGGAGGAAGAGCAAGGCGUGAGGCCCUGAGGUGGGAACACGUUGGCACAUUGUAGAGCAGCCAGAAGGCAGGCAUGGCUGUAGCAGCAGCAGAAUAGGGAGGUUGGCAGGAGAGGAAGCCAAGGAGAAGUGAGUAGUCCAGUUCAUGGGGAACUUGUAGGGCAUGGAAUUCAUGUUGGGUUUUACCCCAGGUGAGAUGGGAGUCGUUGGAGGGCUUUGGGCAAAGCAGUGGCCACAGUGUGAUUCAGCAGGUUAAAAAAGAUCCUGCUGACUCCCACAUGAACAACAGUCUGAAGGGCAGCAAGGAUGGAAACAGGGAGACCAAUUGUUAAGAGGCUACUGCAACCAUUGAGGCAAGAAAGGAGCAUGGCUGCCUGAAGUGAUGAGAAGUGUCAGAUUCUGGAUCUAUUCCUCAGGAAAAGGCUUCAGGAUCUGCUGAUGGUUUGAAGUUGGGGUGUGAGCAGGAAGAGCCCCUGAUGACUCCAGGGCUAAGUAACUGGAAGAAUGAAGUUGCUAUGUCCAGAGAUGAAAAAAUCUCAGAGAGGAGCAGGUUAAUGAUAAUCAAGAUGUUUCUUUUUUCUUCUUUUUCUUCUUUUUAAUAGAGAUGGAGUCUCGCUCUGUUGCCUAGGCUGGAGUGCAGUGGUGCGAUCUCGGCUCACUGCCAACCUCCGCCUCCCAAGUUCAAGCGAUUCUCUUGCGUCAGCCUCCCGAGCAGCUGGGACUACAGGCACGUCACCACGUCCAGCUAUUUUUUUUUUUUUUCAGUAGAGAUGGGGUUUCGCCAUGUUGGCCAGGCUGUUCUCAAACUCGUGACCUCAGGUGGUCUGCUUGCUCCAGCCUCCCAAAGUGCUGGGUUACACCACACCCAGCCAGGAUGUUUCUCUUAAAUAUGUUACAUUUGAGGUGCAUACUGGAGCUCCCAUGGAGAGGGCAGGGAAGGUGGAAAGAGGCAAGUUGAAGAGAUUCUUUUGCCAUUCUUCAGAUUACAUGUUAUUUAAAGUCAUAGACCUCAGUCAAAAUCCCCAAGGGAUUAAAUGGAGGUAGAGAAGAGGACCAGUCCUUGGAGUGCUACAAUGCAUGGAGUUAGUAAGAGGAAGAGGACCCGGCAAGAAAGCUAUGAAGGAGGGGCUUGCUAAGUUAACCCUUGAACAACACGGAUCUGAACUGCAUGGGUCUGCUUCUGCCUCUGCCACUCCUGAGACAGCAAGACCAAGACCAACCAUUCUUCGUCCUCUUCCUCCUCAGCCUGCUCAAUGUGAAGAUGACAAGGAUGAAGUUCUUUACGAUGAUUUACUUCCACUUAAUAGGGAGAAAUGGCACAUUAACAAAAUUCCAAUAAUGAAUAUGAUGGUGACAAAGCAGAGAGAAAGCACAAACAAUAGGAGGAAAUGUUGAAAGAUUCCCUUUCAUCUCCUAACGGCAGUCUGAGGCUGGACAUGUCUACUCCUGGGAAUAGAAUCCAAGGGCAAAAGUCCCUCACGAUAAGGAGGCCACAUUUUGAGCUGAAACGUAUGAACACCACAGCUUCAGGGCCAGGCAAAGUUGGGUUUGUGUCCCAGCAGUACAACUCUCCAGACUUUGAGCCUCACUCUCCUCUUCUAUACAAUGGAGCCAAUGACACCUCUUUCCUGUGUAUUAGAAACACCACCUAAGAAGAUGUAGAUAAAGUGACUGCAAGGGGCAAAGAGCCAGACCUGGUGUUUGACUUCUCCCUAGCCUCCCAAGUGCAGAGAUGAUUCCUACCGGAUACUGGUCCUUGGAGGAAAUGGGAGAGAAAUUCAGCUUUGGCUUUAGCAAUUCAACUGAUAAAGGAGGCAGGGAAAAAGCUAAGUGAGACAGAGAGACUACAAAGCCCUCUUCCUGGAUCCUGGCAGAUGCCAAAGGAAGAAUCUGCGAGUGAGUAAUUCUGCAGCCUGGAGCCCAAAGGCUGCAGCCAGAGGUCUGUGCCAAGAAGGCAGCGGGUGCAGGAGAGGUGGGCGGCUCCUGGGCUGGCCUUAACCGGAUGGGGGACAGCUCAGUGUGAGUCAGAGGCUGAGCCUCUGCUCCAAGGGCCUCCUGCAGGCCACAUCCAUUCAGAUAGGCCUCCCACGAAGGAAGCUUUCCCCUGCAUAGACUCAGGUGGCCUUUAUUGUGAUAGUGUGUCAUCAGUAGGCAUUGCAUGCAGAUGAUAGAAAAUUCCUGCGGUCCAAGCACAAGUCUGCACAAAAACAGAACAGAUAGUCAAGGACGCAGGUAUCAGGUCUGUGCCCAGGUUGUGGGCUGCCGAACUCCCAUGCUGAAAAUGACAACAGCUAUCAUUUAUUGAGAGCUCACCUGGUCCCAUCACUGUGCAAAGUGCAAGCCAGCUCCAAAGCCCUUAUGUGCAACUACUAAACAUUUUGGUCUCCAGAGUGUACAGUAGAGCUAGGAGAAUAUUAGGUAAGCCAGUUCUCUAACUACCUCAGUUUCCCCAUUGCAAAAUGGGGAUGAUAUUUGCCUACAUUAUGGGUUACUUUGAGAACUGCAGCACAGCAAUUCAAAAUCCAGGCUUUUGAGUCAAAAAGAUCUGGGUUCGAGUCCCAGCUCUGCCUCUGAUUUGCUGUGUGAGCUUGAGCAAAUGUCUUAUCCUCUGUGAGCUUCAAUUUCCUCAUGUUUUGUGGAUCGUAAGAGAACCAACCUCAAGGGUUAUGACAAAAAUUAAAUGAGAUAACAUAUGAACCUGCUUCCUCAUCUGUAAACCAGAGAAAAUAAUACACAUUUUUCUCAUUGUUGUGAAGAGUAAAUAACAUUUUAAGAUGGUUUAUUAAUAUAUUUCAUAUUCAGUAGGUUCAUGGUUAUUAUUAUCAUUAUUACCAUUUCCAUCAAAUAAGCCAUUAUAUAAAAAGUUAUUGAUAAAUUUUAAGAGGCUGUUUUUGAUCAAAAAUAUAUUGUUUACUAUAUUUAAACAAGGCUCUAAAUGUGGUAAUUAGUAUUUUUAUUAUAACUGCCAUUUUCCUCAUAUACUACAAUCUCAGUAUGGGGCAAGGGAGCAAAAAACUCACUUGAUCUCUCUGAGUUCCUUUUCAGGAGAAAUUUAGGUUACAUUAGGAUUUUCAACCUCAGACCUGUGGACCCAAAAGGGUCUGGGAAAGUAGUAAAGGCAGUGAGAGAAGGGUACCUAGAGGUAUUUUCAAUAUUCCAAAAGGUAUGGGAAAUCAUAUACUUGUCAAUAAUGUGACCUCCACAGACUAUCUUGAAGACCAAGUUUCUUUUGCUUCAGGUUGAAAUUGUAGUGGCUUGGCAUGGCACUACUAGUUAACUGCUGUUCCCCCGACCUUCUAUCUGGCUGAAGUGUGGGCAAUAGACAAGCUCUGUUAAUACCGUGGGACUCUGGAGCCAGAGUCCCUGGCUCCCCACUUAUCAGCUGUAUAAACUUAGGCAGGAUUUAUAACCUUUCUGUGCCUCAGUCUCUUCAUCUGACAAUACUGGAUAACAAUAUUGCUUCCCCAUGGAGCUAUCAUAAAGAACCAUAUAAGUAAAGCAGUUAGGAUAGUGCCUGGUCCACAGUAAUCACUCCAUAUGAUGAACUCAGUUGUCAUUGUCAUUGCUAUCAGAUUUCAAGAAACACCUUCCC
RNAcentral lists this long non-coding RNA (3868 nucleotides) under Homo sapiens (human). Its description in RNAcentral is "HSALNT0007598". The record is from RNAcentral. Lineage: Eukaryota; Metazoa; Chordata; Mammalia; Primates; Hominidae.